Telopea speciosissima is the source of this 154-nucleotide long non-coding RNA. RefSeq lists it as uncharacterized. The transcript has 3 exons. Lineage: Eukaryota; Viridiplantae; Streptophyta; Magnoliopsida; Proteales; Proteaceae. The record is from RefSeq and is a predicted model, not a curated record.
CGGUGGUGCCAAAGCUAGGAUACGAACCAAGUGCUGUGAGGAAUGCAUCACGCGUAUAGAAGUUCUUGCCGGCACAGCUUGAGGACGCCUGAUUGAUUAUCCCAUCAAAGAAUGAUUGUGUAACUAUAUUAGCCACAGAAGAUGAAGAAGACGA